AAACUUGUCAGCAGAUGUUCCAAGGAUGCAGUCUGCUUCCACCCUCAUGAUAUGAUGGGGUGUGGUGCUUCAAAACUUGGCUACUCUAUACCUGGGAAGAGUGAAUCAACUUUAAUUAGGUACCUAAGGAUAAAACUGGCCUGAAGGGAAAAUCUGGGGGAAACUGGGAAGCUUGACUGUUCUUGCACCUGACCCUCUCAGCUGUCAGAUGCGGUGAUCUCCAUGGUAACUCAAACCCCCAGACUCUUGACAGCAGCCUGCGAGGAGCAGCAUUCAGCAGCUCAAGGGUCUCACGACCAGGUAAGCCAAAAGUAAUCACCAAACAAGAGAUUUCUCUGCGUCCACUGUUUCCUAUCCAACUGCCUUUCAGGUUUUUCCUUGGUGAAGCCACGCAUGCUGUUAGUCCCUGCGCAUAUAUGUGACGAUGUACUCCUACCAGUGCUGUCAUUUAAGGCUACGGCAGUCCAGCUCUUUCAAACAGAGGCGUUUGACAAAAAGUCUACAUUUAUUCAGGGUCGCUUUUUAAGCUACAGAUUGAAGAGCCACAAUGCAGCGAAGCAAAGAAGUACUGUACAAUUCUUUAAGUGGUUUUGGUGUUAAGUAAUUGCUAUGGUAGGAAAUAACCCCCAAACACACCUGUCUUACCACUGUACCUACACCACUGUCAGUACUGCCCGGGUGCUAACAUUAGGCUUGGGCUCUCUCACCCUCCUGGAAUGGACCAGAGACAGUUUCUGUGUUCACGUAACAUUCAUUGGUACCCUGCAGCCUUUUCAAAUUGCUGCUGUGCUCUUCUCACAUGACUUUCUAAAUCCCUCAUUGUGCUAAUAACAGCACGUGGAGCAUUCUGGUUAACAUCAUAAGGAGGUACAGAAUUCUUCCCCUUUUUGGUGAGUUAUGGAGAAAACAUGAAGAAAAACCAAGUCUUUGAGGGCUAUACAACUGUGUUCACUAUUCCAGUAUCACUAAAGCUGUGAACAAAAGUAGUAUCUCUGGUCUUACACACUUACAUGUGUGGGCGUUUUAUUACCCCUUUUGUCAUAAGGUUUCACUGGCAUUUGUAUGGAAUUGUUUCUUUACCAUGAAGAUUGUAUUUAUUUUGUAAGUCCUUGGUUUCUGUGCACUGAUUUCUGGAUAUUACCCUCAUUCUUUCCGUCUGGCUACAUAAGUCCAUUUGGCUGUAAUACACCGUCCCCAUCAUACAAACCAAUCCAUAUUACUCUGAAUAACCGCUCUGCUAACUUUAUUAACCAUUCUGACAUUUUUUGUGCCAUAACUGCUGCUGUCAACGGUAUUUACUUUUGUAUCAUUGAUUAUACUCUUAGAUAAUGUUGAGCUAGUACCGGAUGAUUUUAUUGGAGUAAUGUAGAGCGCUCUUCUUCAAUUAUUAUUUCCUGUUAACAGCUACUAUUUUAUACCUAUAUCUUAAUUUGGUGAUAUUGAUAAUAAUUUCUUACUCUGAAUGUUGUGUGGCUGUAAGCUAAAUGCUCU
Molecule: long non-coding RNA, 1491 nt
Organism: Egretta garzetta (little egret)
Lineage: Eukaryota; Metazoa; Chordata; Aves; Pelecaniformes; Ardeidae
Exons: 3
Source: RefSeq, a predicted model, not a curated record